Molecule: long non-coding RNA, 371 nt
Organism: Lactuca sativa (garden lettuce)
Lineage: Eukaryota; Viridiplantae; Streptophyta; Magnoliopsida; Asterales; Asteraceae
Source: RefSeq, a predicted model, not a curated record
UAGCCUUUCCUUAGCUCCAUCAAGGGAAAGUAGGUGUUGUGUCUUCUUUGGAUCAUCUGCACCAUAUAUGAAUUAAAGGAACUGGUAGCGAUUAGAGGAAAACAAAAACAAAUCUCUGAGGAUGAAAAAAAGUCAACCAGAGAUGAAAAGUCAAAAUUGGAAAGAAGGCCGGAGAGGCUGACCGAGGGAGCGGACGGUAGCAUGAACGGUAUAGCGACGCUGAAGCAAGAGCUUAACGAGCCAUGAAGCUAUGAAUCCCGAAGCUCCUGUAACACAGACUACCUUCCCUUCUCCGGCCAUUUCUCUGAAAUCAAGGAGUUCUGUUGGAGCUCACCCAGCACAAGUUGGAGGCCUAAGGAGUUACUUUCUAA